RNAcentral lists this ribosomal RNA (604 nucleotides) under Ischiodon aegyptius. RNAcentral's name for it is "eukaryotic LSU rRNA". It matches the Rfam family "Eukaryotic large subunit ribosomal RNA", at positions 390 to 815 of the family's 3401-position model. The record is from RNAcentral. Lineage: Eukaryota; Metazoa; Arthropoda; Insecta; Diptera; Syrphidae.
CAAGAGUACGUGAAACUGCUUAGAGGUUAAACCCGAUGAACCUGAAUAUCCAUUAUGGAAAAUUCAUCACUAAUGAUAUAAUAUGUAAGAAAUAUUUUAAAAAUAGUGUGCAAUUUUUCCAUAUAAGGACAUUGUAAUCUGUUAAUGUGAUAAAUAUUUAUCAUAAGAUCCAUUACACUAAGUUUAUUCAAAUUGGUUAUUUUCGGAUAAUUAACAUAGAAUAAAUGUUUUGGAUUUGAUAAAUCAUUGACAGAUAUAAUUAUAUAAUGUGCUUAAAUUUUUCGGAAUUUUAUCAAUGGUAGAAAAUAUUUUAUUUUCUAUUUAAUUGAUAUGCACUAUUAUGAUUAACAAUGCGAGAGAUUCAGGAUACCUUCGGGACCCGUCUUGAAACACGGACCAAGGAGUCUAACAUAUGUGCAAGUCAUUGGGUAUUUUUAAUAAAACCCAAUGGCGUAAUUAACUUAACUGCUAAUUAAUGGGAUUAGUUUAUAUUUUGUUAUGAAUUAUUAAUUCAAUCCCGGGGCGUUCUAUAUAGUUAUGUAUAAUAAUAUUUAUAUUAUUUAUGCCUCUAACUUGAGCGUACCUUGAGCAUAUAUGCUGUGAC